Molecule: ribosomal RNA, 2074 nt
Filed under: Triticum aestivum (bread wheat)
Lineage: Eukaryota; Viridiplantae; Streptophyta; Magnoliopsida; Poales; Poaceae
Description: partial small subunit ribosomal RNA
Source: RNAcentral
GUUUAAAUCCCACUCAUCAGACAGUUCAAAGAAAAAAGUGAUAGAGUUCGACAAAAUCAAACGUUUUUGCAGUACAUAAUACCUGCCUCCGUCAUCAAAGAAAGUAAGGGUGUCUUUUUUUUUGCAAUCAAAGAAGGUCACUGUAGCUCUUCCGACAUUUGUUGCUUGCCCGUAGGUUCAAUCUUUUUCGGGUGCCCGGUUAAAGAUGCUAUCCUUUUUGAACCGUCAACCGUGUGGACAACGAUUUUUUUUUUUGGACAACGAUUUUUUUUUGUCAACCGUGUGGACCGGUGCGCAGUAACCGACCGCCAGCUAGUCACGUCGCGGGAGAGAGGGAGGGAUAGGAGUCGAGGUUCGUCUAUUGGGCGAGCGCCCGCGUCACGUUAAAGGCGGGGAGAGAGGGGCCUUAGGAGGUACCGCUGAGGAGACGGGUGACCGAGUAAGCGUCGUACGUCGGAGGUUGGUUCAUAGGCCCGCGACGUACGUGGCUUCGGCGGCGACGUCUUACGACGACGCCGUCGCACGCGACGGCAGGCAGCCCCGACGCCGGUGGCAUGACCGCGCUGGUUCUCGUCGGACAGGUGCCACACGCUCGGCGACCCCGGGCUGGCCGGGCAGACCAAGGGGCCGUGGCGAGGAGGCGGCACCGAGCUGCCGUCGGAAGGCCCUCUGAAGCCUAAACUAGGAGAGCCUAAGCCUAGCCUCGGCCUCAGCGACGCCACCAAGCGCGUCCGCCUCGACUACGUGCCGGCCACCCGCUACGACCGCCGCCGGCCCUAGGACCAGGGCCUCUAGGACGUGUUCACCCCGAAGUACCUCCUCAAGAGGACCAUGUGGCGGCCGCUCGCGCUCAUGAAGCGCCUGGGAAACUGCGAGAAGCAGUGGGUCCACCGCGAGUACCCCACCCACCUCCCGGCCGCCACCUACCUGAUGGAGUUGGGCCCCAGGCAGCUGUAGCUCGGCGCCAAGGGGUUGGCGUUCUUGGGGUGGGGCCUGCACCCCAUGGGCCCCCCGGACACCAAGCUGACCCCGUUGACCCCGGCGCCGAGCGGCCUCGGGCAGUACCACGAGGCGUGGUUCCUCUAGUUCUUGCCGGCGGAGCGGUACGAGCGGAAGCAGCCGAAGACCAAGGUCCGGCAGAUGUGGCCGGUCCCGGGGGAGCUGUUGGAGAGGCGCGUGGAGCGGCUGGGGCCGGUGACGUUGUAGAAGAGCCGUAAGUGAAGGGUGACUAGCACCGUCUCACCGCUUGCCGCAACGAGUGCGUCUCCCAAAAACGGCACUUGGACUCGUGAAACCGAAACCACACAGUAGAUCGGGAAACCUUUUACACUUAUAAUGUCACGUGGCCUUCUCCCCUCACCCGGCCCCUUCUACGAAUGGUCAUGUGGAGACAUAUUACUUUAUGAGGGUGAUCCGGUUUUGUUUUAAGAUGAUGAUGGUGUCCGGUGUAAUUGUAGUCUUAGCGUGUCGACAAUAUGAAGAACUAUGCGCAUUAAAAGAAGAACCAAUUGGGAUCUGUGGAUAAAGAUACUGGAACUUAUCUUUUGACUCUCUCAGUCUAUCCGACGAUGCUUGGGUUCCGGUCUCCGUUGCACACGUCACAUUUUGUUUUCCUUCUUACUACACCAGCUACGUCCGGUACGCGCGGCGAGCUCAUACUAUAACUCGGUCGGCACUCGAGUAAAUCUUUGAGCAUGGCUCGAUAGUACAGCAGGGAACUCGAUCUGCUACGCAGUUACCAGCCGCGUCAAGUAUUCCUAUGGGCCAUGUUGAAAGAGUUGUUGGUCGUUCAGUAAGUUCUCGGCUGCUUCGGUUAAUCGAAGCUGGCAUCGAUAUAGAUCACAACCCUCAAGACGAAAAUAACAACUGGAGCAAUUCUACCAGACGAACGUUCUGAAAAUUUUUUGUUGCGGUGGUAGUACUCACUUGUGUAUAGGCGAGCACCGGAAAUAGAGUAGUCGUAGGUUCUAGAUCAAAAUCAGUGAUAUGGGAAGUUCGUAGAAACCCAGGGUCACAUCACUUAAGGUAUUAAGUGUUACAGAAAGUUUAUUGCGUAUUGAGAGAGAUCUCGAAA